UACGUAGGGUGCAAGCGUUGUCCGGAAUUAUUGGGCGUAAAGAGCUCGUAGGCGGUUUGUCGCGUCGAAUGUGAAAACCCGGGGCUCAACCCCGGGCCUGCAUUCGAUACGGGCAGACUAGAGUUCGGUAGGGGAGUCUGGAAUUCCUGGUGUAGCGGUGAAAUGCGCAGAUAUCAGGAGGAACACCGGUGGCGAAGGCGGGACUCUGGGCCGAUACUGACGCUGAUGCACGAAAGCGUGGGUAGCAAACAGG
Molecule: ribosomal RNA, 253 nt
Filed under: uncultured bacterium
Lineage: Bacteria
Description: partial 16S ribosomal RNA
Rfam family: Bacterial small subunit ribosomal RNA
Source: RNAcentral